RNAcentral lists this long non-coding RNA (538 nucleotides) under Ananas comosus (pineapple). RNAcentral describes it as "long non-coding RNA (ACOM_LNC027854)". Lineage: Eukaryota; Viridiplantae; Streptophyta; Magnoliopsida; Poales; Bromeliaceae. The record is from RNAcentral.
UAUAUAUAUAAAAAUGAAAAUACAACUACCGCUACUGUAAUGAACAACUGAAAGUAUACAUGCAACAAAACUAUAGUAGCAAGACAAUGUAACGAAAGAACUGAAGGUAUAUAAGCAACAACCGCUACUAUAGCUAUAUGCGUCAACCGGACAAGAAGUCCAAAUAUACCCAAUCCGAAAUCUGUGCUAUGUUGGUCAGCACCGCAGACCUCAAGCGUGCCCACUACCACUCUACUAUGCAUAUAACCCCUCUAGGGCUCACGGGUUGGCACCUGCAACCACUUUUCCUGAAAAGAACACCCCUUGCGGUGGAUCAGACCGCCGGUGUUCGUGAAAUGCGACGAGUAUCGGACGAUCAAUGCAGAUAUGCUCAAUGAUCAACCGUCGGCAAUCAGCCGACAAUCUUGCCCCUCAGGGCUCACCGACCGUAUAGGUCAUCAACUGUAAGGAAGCACAAGAACCGACAACUCAGGUCAACUAGGAUGGAACGACUCAACAUCCUCUCAAAAGUAUGGAAAUACUGCUCGAUGGGUCAACU